UUAAGCGACUAAGCGUACACGGUGGAUGCCCUGGCAGUCAGAGGCGAUGAAGGACGUGCUAAUCUGCGAUAAGCGUCGGUAAGGUGAUAUGAACCGUUAUAACCGGCGAUUUCCGAAUGGGGAAACCCAGUGUGAUUCGUCACACUAUCAUUAACUGAAUCCAUAGGUUAAUGAGGCGAACCGGGGGAACUGAAACAUCUAAGUACCCCGAGGAAAAGAAAUCAACCGAGAUUCCCCCAGUAGCGGCGAGCGAACGGGGAGCAGCCCAGAGCCUGAAUCAGUGUGUGUGUUAGUGGAAGCGUCUGGAAAGGCGCGCGAUACAGGGUGACAGCCCCGUACACAAAAAUGCACAUACUGUGAGCUCGAUGAGUAGGGCGGGACACGUGGUAUCCUGUCUGAAUAUGGGGGGACCAUCCUCCAAGGCUAAAUACUCCUGACUGACCGAUAGUGAACCAGUACCGUGAGGGAAAGGCGAAAAGAACCCCGGCGAGGGGAGUGAAAAAGAACCUGAAACCGUGUACGUACAAGCAGUGGGAGCACGCUUAGGCGUGUGACUGCGUACCUUUUGUAUAAUGGGUCAGCGACUUAUAUUCUGUAGCAAGGUUAACCGAAUAGGGGAGCCGAAGGGAAACCGAGUCUUAACUGGGCGUUAAGUUGCAGGGUAUAGACCCGAAACCCGGUGAUCUAGCCAUGGGCAGGUUGAAGGUUGGGUAACACUAACUGGAGGACCGAACCGACUAAUGUUGAAAAAUUAGCGGAUGACUUGUGGCUGGGGGUGAAAGGCCAAUCAAACCGGGAGAUAGCUGGUUCUCCCCGAAAGCUAUUUAGGUAGCGCCUCGUGAAUUCAUCUCCGGGGGUAGAGCACUGUUUCGGCAAGGGGGUCAUCCCGACUUACCAACCCGAUGCAAACUGCGAAUACCGGAGAAUGUUAUCACGGGAGACACACGGCGGGUGCUAACGUCCGUCGUGAAGAGGGAAACAACCCAGACCGCCAGCUAAGGUCCCAAAGUCAUGGUUAAGUGGGAAACGAUGUGGGAAGGCCCAGACAGCCAGGAUGUUGGCUUAGAAGCAGCCAUCAUUUAAAGAAAGCGUAAUAGCUCACUGGUCGAGUCGGCCUGCGCGGAAGAUGUAACGGGGCUAAACCAUGCACCGAAGCUGCGGCAGCGACGCUUAUGCGUUGUUGGGUAGGGGAGCGUUCUGUAAGCCUGUGAAGGUGUACUGUGAGGUAUGCUGGAGGUAUCAGAAGUGCGAAUGCUGACAUAAGUAACGAUAAAGCGGGUGAAAAGCCCGCUCGCCGGAAGACCAAGGGUUCCUGUCCAACGUUAAUCGGGGCAGGGUGAGUCGACCCCUAAGGCGAGGCCGAAAGGCGUAGUCGAUGGGAAACAGGUUAAUAUUCCUGUACUUGGUGUUACUGCGAAGGGGGGACGGAGAAGGCUAUGUUGGCCGGGCGACGGUUGUCCCGGUUUAAGCGUGUAGGCUGGUUUUCCAGGCAAAUCCGGAAAAUCAAGGCUGAGGCGUGAUGACGAGGCACUACGGUGCUGAAGCAACAAAUGCCCUGCUUCCAGGAAAAGCCUCUAAGCAUCAGGUAACAUCAAAUCGUACCCCAAACCGACACAGGUGGUCAGGUAGAGAAUACCAAGGCGCUUGAGAGAACUCGGGUGAAGGAACUAGGCAAAAUGGUGCCGUAACUUCGGGAGAAGGCACGCUGAUAUGUAGGUGAAGUCCCUCGCGGAUGGAGCUGAAAUCAGUCGAAGAUACCAGCUGGCUGCAACUGUUUAUUAAAAACACAGCACUGUGCAAACACGAAAGUGGACGUAUACGGUGUGACGCCUGCCCGGUGCCGGAAGGUUAAUUGAUGGGGUCAGCGCAAGCGAAGCUCUUGAUCGAAGCCCCGGUAAACGGCGGCCGUAACUAUAACGGUCCUAAGGUAGCGAAAUUCCUUGUCGGGUAAGUUCCGACCUGCACGAAUGGCGUAAUGAUGGCCAGGCUGUCUCCACCCGAGACUCAGUGAAAUUGAACUCGCUGUGAAGAUGCAGUGUACCCGCGGCAAGACGGAAAGACCCCGUGAACCUUUACUAUAGCUUGACACUGAACAUUGAGCCUUGAUGUGUAGGAUAGGUGGGAGGCUUUGAAGUGUGGACGCCAGUCUGCAUGGAGCCGACCUUGAAAUACCACCCUUUAAUGUUUGAUGUUCUAACGU
RNAcentral lists this ribosomal RNA (2200 nucleotides) under Escherichia coli. RNAcentral's name for it is "bacterial LSU rRNA". It matches the Rfam family "Bacterial large subunit ribosomal RNA", at positions 1 to 2228 of the family's 2925-position model. The record is from RNAcentral. Lineage: Bacteria; Pseudomonadati; Pseudomonadota; Gammaproteobacteria; Enterobacterales; Enterobacteriaceae.